GGAAUAUGAGGUUGGAACCAACACACUGCUAGAAAAUAUUCUUAUAGCUGAGCUUUGGGGUUGGCUCCACUAUAGUUCUCUUUAUAACACCCAUGUGUGAAGGUCCCCAUUACAUUUUCUUUUGGUUGUUUCAUGUCCAAGUGCUUGUCUUGGCUGUUGUUUCCUUUUCUCUAUCGUCUUCAGCUUUGCUUCAUUUUCAAAUAUUCUAUA
Molecule: long non-coding RNA, 210 nt
Filed under: Brassica napus (rape)
Lineage: Eukaryota; Viridiplantae; Streptophyta; Magnoliopsida; Brassicales; Brassicaceae
Description: long non-coding RNA (BNAP_LNC024876)
Source: RNAcentral